AUCUAUGGCCAUGCCACCCUGAACGUGCCUGAUCUCGUCUGAUCCCGGAGGCUAAGCAGGGUCAGGCCUGGUUAGUACUUGGAUGAGAGAUCCCAUCCUAAAAGAACUCACAGUCAAGU
RNAcentral lists this ribosomal RNA (119 nucleotides) under Propithecus coquereli (Coquerel's sifaka). Lineage: Eukaryota; Metazoa; Chordata; Mammalia; Primates; Indriidae. The record is from RNAcentral.